This 1697-nucleotide long non-coding RNA is filed under the name Capsella grandiflora. Its description in RNAcentral is "long non-coding RNA (CGRA_LNC001125)". The record is from RNAcentral. Lineage: Eukaryota; Viridiplantae; Streptophyta; Magnoliopsida; Brassicales; Brassicaceae.
AAAAGAUAUUAGGUGACUUCAGCCAAGCUGAUCAAGUGGUAGCCGCUCCAACUGAGAGCGUAGUUGUCAGGAUUGCUCCACUAGAACCUGAAGGAAGAGUAAAUACUUUUAGAUAAAUCAUCUAGGUGCCAAGAAAGUCAGAAACCAUCAAAUUCAGAAUUUGUGCUCCAGUUAGACGGAAGGUUUUAAAUCUGAGGACAAUUCAUGUCUUUAGCCAUAGAGGGUUCCAAAGGAGAUAGAUAAAAAAUAACCAAUGAUACUUCUAAUUUUUUUUAUGUCUUUCUUUUUAGCCUGUAGCACAGUGUAUAUAGAGAGAAUUUGUCUCACUUUUCAGUAGCAUCUUACGAGUUCACAAAACUGCUCUUUGCAAAGUUAUUUUUACGGUGGAAUAUGAAUUUUGCAAUCUUAUCCAAAAAACAUCAAGAUUCAUCUAUAAGACUACAACCAAAGAUUGAUAAAGUUCUGGUCGUAUAUUCUUAUGUGUCAUAUCAGUCAGUACACUGAACCAAAAAGUCACUAGGCAGAAUAAAUGGUAUCCUGAUCAUGAAUGCCUAGUGUAGUCUACAGGAUGCAAUUACGUUCCAGACCUUAUCGCAUGUAUUCUUGACAGUGACAAAUGCACGAAGUUCAUGAACAAAAUAUACAUCUAUCCACUUGACACGACCCACUUAAUAAUCUAUCUAUAUGCCUCAAAACCAAUCCACACACAUGAGUAGUCAUCAAAUAGCAAAUACCAAGAUCAAGACCGAAAAGAUAUCAGCAGGAACUAUGAACAAAUAGAUAUUUUACUUAAACACUUUAACAGAAAGAAAUUAUUUAGUAGGAAAGAUGAACAAAUAAAUAUUUACUUUACAGAUAUAAUUAGUACAAACAAUGAAUAAAUAGAUAUUUACUUAACAUAUGGUUACUUAAAAGAUAUCUAGUAGAUAUUUAGUAGGAACGAUGAACAAAUACAUAUCUAAUCAAAAGUGCACUAAAAGAUGAACACUGAGAAAUGGCAUUGACGAGUAAAUGAUUAAAAAAUAGGUUCCACCAAAGAAAGUCAAUAAUGGUUGAUAAAUGAUUAAGAGACAGGACUAAUAAAGCUCUGUGUUUCAGUAUUUCCAGUUUCUAGCAAAAGAGAACUUUUUAAUUAUAAUGUUCCUGAAACUUUUCCCAUGGCCCUUUUAAUCCCAUUGGAUCCAAACCAUUCCCACAUAAUAAAUGCAUCAAGCAAAACUCUUACUUAAAAUUUCCCAGAAAUAUUCCAAAUUCUCACCAACCUUAAAACGUGUGGUUUCACCUGAUAUGUUUCUUUCUGUUCGAGUUCCACACCAUCAUUCAUGUUACUCCUGCAGUGUUGUAGUCAUGAAAAACGGAGACUUUCAAUUAAAAAGUGAAUGAGCAUCAAAUUAAGAUAUUCCAAGCAAACGAAUCAUUCGAGCAUACACAAACAAAAGUAAAGUUUAUUUGCUUUCCGACUGAGACCGGUGAGAAAAGAUAGAAAAGAGGCAUCUCCUACUAUGUAACAUCAACUUUUUAUCCCAAAGAUACACAAUCUUCCCCAAUCUUAAUGUUUCACUAAACCAGCUAUUAGGAAAGUAGCAAGAAAUAAAAUGUUCUACAAAAGCAACUUUUCGAAGAAUCUUGCUUUGAUUUGGAGCUACAAGAAAAACAUUUGAUACUAGAUUCAUGGAGAUUUCCCUCGCAAUUUGCAA